CCCCCCGCCCCUCCCCUCCCGGGUCGGGUUUCCCGCACACGUGACCCAGCCGGCCCAGGACGCCGCCCCGGCGCCCCCUGCACCCCACCCAACCCCGGUGUCCACGAAGACUGGCCGGGCGCCGUCGGGGCGCUUCCCACGCGGUAGCGACAGACACCGGCCCACUUGCGGGGGGCAUCCGGGAAUCAGCAUGCAGGUGUCACUGUGUCCCCAGGAGCGUCACGGAGGAGACACAGCUACAGGAACACAAACGGCGUGAUUGAGCACUACGGAGAAGUUUGGAAAAUGUGUUACAGUAAAACACGCUGCUGUGAAUCGCUUCAGUCUUCCCCUCUCUUCCCACCGUCCCGGCCACUUCCUGCAGCAGCUCUAGAGUCCUCCUUCCUGAGGGUCUUCGCCUGUGCUGACCUGGCAGCCUCCAUGCCCUGAGUUGAUAAGGCACUGACCUUUCAAGGUCGUUGUGACCUUCGGGGAGAGCUGGAAGUCACGGGGCCUCAAAUCAGGGGAUGAAGGUGGAUGAGGACACAGCAUCAGGGCUGGGCAGCACUCAGCAGCAGCUGUCAUCGUAUUUUGAUCACAUCUCAUAAAGACGCUCAGGAG
RNAcentral lists this long non-coding RNA (600 nucleotides) under Heterocephalus glaber (naked mole-rat). Its description in RNAcentral is "lncRNA (ENSHGLG00000037335.1)". Lineage: Eukaryota; Metazoa; Chordata; Mammalia; Rodentia; Bathyergidae. The record is from RNAcentral.